RNAcentral lists this long non-coding RNA (293 nucleotides) under Triticum aestivum (bread wheat). Its description in RNAcentral is "long non-coding RNA (TAES_LNC000480)". The record is from RNAcentral. Lineage: Eukaryota; Viridiplantae; Streptophyta; Magnoliopsida; Poales; Poaceae.
GGACAUGGCGGCGAGGCCGCAGAGGGGCUCGAGCACGGAGAUGACGCUGGCGAGGUGCCAGAGCGCGGAGAUGUAGACGUGGAUGGCGAGGAAGAGGAAGGCGACGGCGAGGAGGGCGAGGAGGAAGGAGAGGGGGGGCGGGGUGGAGGCGGUCAUGGGCGGGUCGAAGAGGAGGAUGAGGAGGACGACGGUGACGACGAAGCCGACGUGGUAGGCGAGCAUGAGGAGCGAGACCCAGAGGAAGGUGCGGAGGAGGCGGGGCAGGAUGGGCGGCAGCGCGGAGAGCGAGGAGG